RNAcentral lists this ribosomal RNA (253 nucleotides) under uncultured bacterium. Its description in RNAcentral is "partial 16S ribosomal RNA". It matches the Rfam family "Bacterial small subunit ribosomal RNA", at positions 524 to 776 of the family's 1533-position model. The record is from RNAcentral.
UACGGAGGGUGCAAGCGUUGUUCGGAAUAACUGGGCGUAAAGCGCAUGUAGGCGGAUUUUUAAGUCAGAGGUGAAAUCCCAGGGCUCAACCCCGGCAUUGCCUUUGAUACUGGAGAUCUGGAGUCUGGGAGAGGUGAGUGGAAUUCCGAGUGUAGAGGUGAAAUUCGUAGAUAUUCGGAGGAACACCAGUGGCGAAGGCGGCUCUCUGGCCCGAGACUGACGCUGAGAUGCGAAAGCGUGGGGAGCAAACAGG